UGGGGAAUAUUGGACAAUGGGCGAAAGCCUGAUCCAGCCAUGCCGCGUGAGUGAUGAAGGCCUUAGGGUUGUAAAGCUCUUUUAGCAGGGAAGAUAAUGACGGUACCUGCAGAAAAAGCCCCGGCUAACUUCGUGCCAGCAGCCGCGGUAAUACGAAGGGGGCUAGCGUUGCUCGGAAUUACUGGGCGUAAAGCGCACGUAGGCGGACUCUUAAGUCGGUGGUGAAAUCCUGGAGCUCAACUCCAGAACUGCCUUCGAUACUGGGAGUCUUGAGUUCGGGAGAGGUGAGUGGAACUGCGAGUGUAGAGGUGAAAUUCGUAGAUAUUCGCAAGAACACCAGUGUCGAAGGCGGCUCACUGGCCCGAUACUGACGCUGAGGUGCGAAAGCGUGGGGAGCAAACA
This 402-nucleotide ribosomal RNA is filed under the name uncultured bacterium. RNAcentral's name for it is "bacterial SSU rRNA". It matches the Rfam family "Bacterial small subunit ribosomal RNA", at positions 355 to 774 of the family's 1533-position model. The record is from RNAcentral.